UAGCGUUUGUUUAAUGUGCGUGUCUGCGUAUUGUUUGCUUUUGGGUCCAGCUUGCGUGUUAGAACUACGGUUCAUGACAGAGUUUCUGUCAAAUCACUUCUAAAACUGUUUUUGAAAAUGUCACUAAAACACGAAUUAUUAAUAUUAUAUUGGUGAGUGUUGUGGGCUCAGACACGAGAGCACUUUUAAAUAUUUCUUUGGACGCGUCAGUGAAAGUUUUUUUUAGCCUAAAAUCACAGGUUUAAGAUCCAGAGCAGAUUUUAAAGGGUUAACCUUCAUAAAGUGUGUGACAGCUACAGGAAAGAUCUGACACAUUAAUCUGAUCACACAGAUGUUGAGUUUAGCUGCGGUCAGUCGGCUAUCUGAAGUUGUAUCAUCUGUAAUCUGAUUGGUCGGUUUUUCACGCAGCAGAUUAAAACAAACUCAGGUGAGUUUGGUUGAAAACUCUCUUUCAGGUUCUCCUGUUUCAUCCUCUGGUUUUAAGUUAAUGCUGCUCAGCGCGUAACAUGAUCCACGUCAGCUGUCACAUGACAAAGCUGCUCAGAACUUCCUGUCAGAGAGGAAACACACGAAGGUGAUGAGGAGAUAAAGAAGGAGAGGAAACAUGAGUGAGGACACUUCUCCUAUGUGCGACAAUAUCGACUGUGUUUGAGUCACAGGCUGUAAUAUCUCAGCCUUUCCACAUGUGGCCUUUAUUAGAGGAGCCGUGGAUUACUCACAGGGAACGCUGGGAUGCAGGAAAGGUGGCGCCAGGAUCAGAGCAGGGACGCAUUUCAUGUUUCCAGCGUGUAAAAACGCAGCAUUGGUACAAACCCAGCACAUGAGCUCAUCUCACUGACGGCCACAUCAGUGUGUCAGGAAGAAAUGCAGCAUGCAGACUCUCAGCAUACAAAAGAAGCUUUAUUGAUCAAAACAAUCUGAACAGAAGACGCUGAAGAACAGGAGAUCCUGGAAAGGUUCAAGGUUCAAGGUUCUUUAUUUGUCACAUGCAUAGUUAUAUAUGUCAGGGUUUCUGGGUCAUUGACCCAGUAUUUUCAGUUGACGUUCACCGUUUCUCUACUGCCGGUUCCACUUCCUGUUUUAUUGUGUUAACCUUGGUCUGUGUUCAUUAUGUUCAGCCCUCUUCCCAUUUAUCAGUAGUUCUUUAAGUUCAGCUGUUCACUCACCUGUCACCUAUCAGUCAUUAUUCAGCCAGCAUAUUUAAGUCCUCAGUUCUCUCCUGGUCUUUGUCGUGUCAUUGAUGUUAUGUUGUUGUUCCCGUUAGUUCUCAGUUAUUCAGUCAGCCAGUCACUCCUACCGUUCCUGCUUUGUUCGUUCACCUGCUCCCAAUAAACCCUCAUCAUUUCUGCACCGUGA
Long non-coding RNA from Oreochromis aureus, 1356 nucleotides. The record is from Ensembl. NCBI's taxonomy places the organism in Eukaryota, Metazoa, Chordata, Actinopteri, Cichliformes, Cichlidae.